AGAGUUUGAUCCUGGCUCAGAUUGAACGCUGGCGGCAUGCCUUACACAUGCAAGUCGAACGGCAGCGGGACUUCGGUCCGCCGGCGAGUGGCGAACGGGUGAGUAAUGUAUCGGAACGUACCUUUCAGUGGGGGAUAACGUAGCGAAAGUUACGCUAAUACCGCAUAUUCUGUGCGCAGGAAAGCAGGGGAUCGCAAGACCUUGCGCUGAUUGAGCGGCCGAUAUCAGAUUAGCUAGUUGGUGGGGUAAAGGCCUACCAAGGCGACGAUCUGUAGCGGGUCUGAGAGGAUGAUCCGCCACACUGGAACUGAGACACGGUCCAGACUCCUACGGGAGGCAGCAGUGGGGAAUUUUGGACAAUGGGGCAACCCUGAUCCAGCCAUGCCGCGUGAGUGAAGAAGGCCUUCGGGUUGUAAAGCUCUUUCGGCCGGGAAGAAAUCGUAUGGGUUAAUACCCUGUGCGGAUGACGGUACCGGCAUAAGAAGCACCGGCUAACUACGUG
This 502-nucleotide ribosomal RNA is filed under the name uncultured bacterium. Its description in RNAcentral is "bacterial SSU rRNA". It matches the Rfam family "Bacterial small subunit ribosomal RNA", at positions 8 to 507 of the family's 1533-position model. The record is from RNAcentral.